RNAcentral lists this ribosomal RNA (424 nucleotides) under uncultured prokaryote. RNAcentral's name for it is "bacterial SSU rRNA". It matches the Rfam family "Bacterial small subunit ribosomal RNA", at positions 355 to 796 of the family's 1533-position model. The record is from RNAcentral.
UGGGGAAUAUUGGACAAUGGGGGAAACCCUGAUCCAGCCAUGCCGCGUGAGUGAUGAAGGCCUUCUGGUUGUAAAGCUCUUUCGCUGGGGAAGAUAAUGACGGUACCCAGACAAGAAGCUCCGGCUAACUUCGCGCCAGCAGCCGCGGUAAUACGAAGGGAGCUAGCGUUGUUCGGAAUUACUGGGCGUAAAGCGCACGUAGGCGGAUUGCCAAGUCAGGGGUGAAAUCCCGGAGCUCAACUCCGGAACUGCCCUUGAUACUGGUUGUCUUGAGUUCGAGAGAGGUGAGUGGAAUUCCGAGUGUAGAGGUGAAAUUCGUAGAUAUUCGGAGGAACACCAGUGGCGAAGGCGGCUCACUGGCUCGAUACUGACGCUGAGGUGCGAGAGCGUGGGGAGCAAACAGGAUUAGAUACCCCCGUAGUCC